GCCCUACUCAGGACUGCAACUGGAGAGUUUCUAGUCCUCUACUAGCCUCAGCUACGGGAGGAAGAGUCGAGCAGAGGCCUACCCAUUCCAUUCCUAGCGUGGGCAGUGGCUGGCGAGUGGAAGACACUUUGCUACACGU
Tachyglossus aculeatus (Australian echidna) is the source of this 139-nucleotide small nucleolar RNA. Lineage: Eukaryota; Metazoa; Chordata; Mammalia; Monotremata; Tachyglossidae. The record is from RefSeq and is a predicted model, not a curated record.